AACCACGGUGUGGCAACAUAACCAGCAUUUGCAAUGUCAACGUGAAUUCCCCCGCUGCAAAGUGCGAGAGAUCGUACAAAGCCGCCCACCCUUCAACUUCAGAGGAAAUUUCCCCCAACAAGAGAUGGUUUUGCACGGGAGUUUCUCAGGUCAGCUCACUUCAUCCCGACCCGCGGGGCGCUGGUUUAAAAGCAUCGCGUCCCCCUUCGUAAUGGACAUUUCCCUCUCGGCAUCCCAGGACCAGGGCAACGAGAGAAGCAAACCAUUAUCAUACUGCCACAUUCUGCUUCCAUCUAUGAUUCUACUGCAGAUUCUGAGAUCCUUUUGUAACAGAGUCCUCCACACCAACUUCCUCAGAUCCUGUCUGUUAUCUGUCUGUAAAGUUGCAUCCAAUACUGAAUUGUUAGAGCUGGUUGAUGGAGUCCUGGUAUUAGGGCAUUUUAAAAACUGCUGGUUUGAUUGUUUAUGUUCUUAAUCUUCAUUCAUUUAAUUGAAUAA
Long non-coding RNA from Carcharodon carcharias (great white shark), 498 nucleotides. RefSeq lists it as uncharacterized. The transcript has 3 exons. The record is from RefSeq and is a predicted model, not a curated record. NCBI's taxonomy places the organism in Eukaryota, Metazoa, Chordata, Chondrichthyes, Lamniformes, Lamnidae.